Molecule: ribosomal RNA, 761 nt
Filed under: Staphylococcus aureus
Lineage: Bacteria; Bacillati; Bacillota; Bacilli; Caryophanales; Staphylococcaceae
Description: bacterial SSU rRNA
Rfam family: Bacterial small subunit ribosomal RNA
Source: RNAcentral
UUUAUGGAGAGUUUGAUCCUGGCUCAGGAUGAACGCUGGCGGCGUGCCUAAUACAUGCAAGUCGAGCGAACGGACGAGAAGCUUGCUUCUCUGAUGUUAGCGGCGGACGGGUGAGUAACACGUGGAUAACCUACCUAUAAGACUGGGAUAACUUCGGGAAACCGGAGCUAAUACCGGAUAAUAUUUUGAACCGCAUGGUUCAAAAGUGAAAGACGGUCUUGCUGUCACUUAUAGAUGGAUCCGCGCUGCAUUAGCUAGUUGGUAAGGUAACGGCUUACCAAGGCAACGAUGCAUAGCCGACCUGAGAGGGUGAUCGGCCACACUGGAACUGAGACACGGUCCAGACUCCUACGGGAGGCAGCAGUAGGGAAUCUUCCGCAAUGGGCGAAAGCCUGACGGAGCAACGCCGCGUGAGUGAUGAAGGUCUUCGGAUCGUAAAACUCUGUUAUUAGGGAAGAACAUAUGUGUAAGUAACUGUGCACAUCUUGACGGUACCUAAUCAGAAAGCCACGGCUAACUACGUGCCAGCAGCCGCGGUAAUACGUAGGUGGCAAGCGUUAUCCGGAAUUAUUGGGCGUAAAGCGCGCGUAGGCGGUUUUUUAAGUCUGAUGUGAAAGCCCACGGCUCAACCGUGGAGGGUCAUUGGAAACUGGAAAACUUGAGUGCAGAAGAGGAAAGUGGAAUUCCAUGUGUAGCGGUGAAAUGCGCAGAGAUAUGGAGGAACACCAGUGGCGAAGGCGACUUUCUGGUCUGUAACUGAC